AGCGCUGAAAGCAUCUAAGCGUGAAGCCCCCCUCAAGAUGAGAUUUCCCAUUACGUUAAGUAAGUAAGACCCCUUAGAGAUGAUGAGGUUGAUAGGUCUCGGGUGGAAGCGUGGCGACACGUGGAGCUGAGAGAUACUAAUCGGUCGAGGGCUUAUCCAAAA
This 162-nucleotide ribosomal RNA is filed under the name Alkalihalophilus pseudofirmus. RNAcentral's name for it is "Bacillus pseudofirmus partial 23S ribosomal RNA". It matches the Rfam family "Bacterial large subunit ribosomal RNA", at positions 2767 to 2925 of the family's 2925-position model. The record is from RNAcentral. Lineage: Bacteria; Bacillati; Bacillota; Bacilli; Caryophanales; Bacillaceae.